AGUGUAGGUGGCCGCAUAAGUCGGAUGUGAAAGCCCUGGGCUUAACCUGGGAAUGGCAUUCGAUACUGUGUGGCUAGAGUCUGAUAGAGGGAAGUGGAAUUCCAGGUGUAGCGGUGAAAUGCGUAGAUAUCUGGAGGAACAUCAGUGGCGAAGGCGGCUUCCUGGAUCAAGACUGACACUGAGGCUCGAAAAGCGUGGGGAGCAAACA
RNAcentral lists this ribosomal RNA (208 nucleotides) under uncultured bacterium. RNAcentral's name for it is "partial 16S ribosomal RNA". It matches the Rfam family "Bacterial small subunit ribosomal RNA", at positions 568 to 774 of the family's 1533-position model. The record is from RNAcentral.